UGUGCGCACAAUGGGCAAAGAGACACCUUGUUAGUGAUGGUGUUCUCAUAUCAGUCCGGAAUAGAGCAGAAGGCAGUUCAUGGUUCAUCUUAACUUGAUGUUUGGCUGUCUGGCCAAAGUUGUCUUAGGUCUAGGACUCACAA
Small nucleolar RNA from Apodemus sylvaticus (European woodmouse), 143 nucleotides. RefSeq annotates it as small nucleolar RNA SNORA48. The transcript has a single exon. The record is from RefSeq and is a predicted model, not a curated record. NCBI's taxonomy places the organism in Eukaryota, Metazoa, Chordata, Mammalia, Rodentia, Muridae.